This 476-nucleotide ribosomal RNA is filed under the name uncultured bacterium. Its description in RNAcentral is "bacterial SSU rRNA". It matches the Rfam family "Bacterial small subunit ribosomal RNA", at positions 30 to 498 of the family's 1533-position model. The record is from RNAcentral.
AUUGAACGCUGGCGGCAGGCUUAACACAUGCAAGUCGAGCGGAGAUGAGGUGCUUGCACCUUAUCUUAGCGGCGGACGGGUGAGUAAUGCUUAGGAAUCUGCCUAUUAGUGGGGGACAACAUUCCGAAAGGAAUGCUAAUACCGCAUACGCCCUACGGGGGAAAGCAGGGGAUCUUCGGACCUUGCGCUAAUAGAUGAGCCUAAGUCGGAUUAGCUAGUUGGUGGGGUAAAGGCCUACCAAGGCGACGAUCUGUAGCGGGUCUGAGAGGAUGAUCCGCCACACUGGGACUGAGACACGGCCCAGACUCCUACGGGAGGCAGCAGUGGGGAAUAUUGGACAAUGGGCGGAAGCCUGAUCCAGCCAUGCCGCGUGUGUGAAGAAGGCCUUUUGGUUGUAAAGCACUUUAAGCGAGGAGGAGGCUACUUAGAUUAAUACUCUAGGAUAGUGGACGUUACUCGCAGAAUAAGCACCGGCU